AGAGUUUGAUCAUGGCUCAGGAUUAACGCUAGCGGCAGGCCUAAUACAUGCAAGUCGUACGGUAACAGGUCCAGCAAUGGAUGCUGACGAGUGGCGCACGGGUGCGUAACACGUAUGCAACCUACCUUUGACUGGGGGAUAGCCCCGAGAAAUCGGGAUUAAUACCCCAUACAAUUACGAUGAGACAUCUCAUUGUAAUGAAAGCUCCGGCGGUCUUAGAUGGGCAUGCGCGACAUUAGCUAGUUGGUGAGGUAACGGCUCACCAAGGCUGCGAUGUCUAGGGGUUCUGAGAGGAUUCACCCCCACACUGGUACUGAGACACGGACCAGACUCCUACGGGAGGCAGCAGUAAGGAAUAUUGGUCAAUGGACUGCAAGUCUGAACCAGCCAUGCCGCGUGCAGGAAGACAGCCCUACGGGUUGUAAACUGCUUUUGUACGGGAAAAAACCUCCGGUCGUGCACCGGAGCUGAUGGUACCGUAAGAAUAAGCAUCGGCUAACUCCGUGCCAGCAGCCGCGGUAAUACGGAGGAUGCAAGCGUUAUCCGGAUUCAUUGGGUUUAAAGGGUGCGCAGGCGGAAUGAUAAGUCAGUGGUGAAAUCCUACGGCUCAACCGCAGAACUGCCAUUGAUACUGUCGUUCUUGAGUACACUUGAAGUGGGCGGAAUGUGUCAUGUAGCGGUGAAAUGCUUAGAUGUGACAAGGGAACACCGAUCGCGAAGGCAGCUCACUAAAAGUGUU
This 739-nucleotide ribosomal RNA is filed under the name uncultured bacterium. Its description in RNAcentral is "bacterial SSU rRNA". It matches the Rfam family "Bacterial small subunit ribosomal RNA", at positions 8 to 738 of the family's 1533-position model. The record is from RNAcentral.